AUUGAACGCUGGCGGCAGGCCUAACACAUGCAAGUCGAGCGGAGCGGCGGACGGGUGAGUAAUGCCUAUGAAUCUGCCUCGUAGUGGGGGAGAACGUACGCUAAAGGGCGCUAAUACCGCAUCCUCUCACCUUCGCCUAGGUCGGAAUAGCUAGUUGGUGGGGUAAAGGCCUACCAAGGCGACGAUCCGUACCUGGUCUGAGAGGAUGAUCAGUCACACUGGAACUGAGACACGGUCCAGACUCCUACGGGAGGCAGCAGUGGGGAAUAUUGGACAAUGGGCGAAAGCCUGAUCCAGCCAUGCCGCGUGUAUGAAGAAGGUCUUCGGAUUGUAAAGCACUUUAAGUUGGGAGGCGUUACCAACAGAAUAAGCACCGGCUAACUUCGUGCCAGCAGCCGCGGUAAUAC
This 407-nucleotide ribosomal RNA is filed under the name uncultured bacterium. RNAcentral describes it as "partial 16S ribosomal RNA". It matches the Rfam family "Bacterial small subunit ribosomal RNA", at positions 30 to 526 of the family's 1533-position model. The record is from RNAcentral.